AGCGUACACGGUGGAUGCCCUGGCAGUCAGAGGCGAUGAAGGACGUGCUAAUCUGCGAUAAGCGUCGGUAAGGUGAUAUGAACCGUUAUAACCGGCGAUUUCCGAAUGGGGAAACCCAGUGUGUUUCGACACACUAUCAUUAACUGAAUCCAUAGGUUAAUGAGGCGAACCGGGGGAACUGAAACAUCUAAGUACCCCGAGGAAAAGAAAUCAACCGAGAUUCCCCCAGUAGCGGCGAGCGAACGGGGAGCAGCCCAGAGCCUGAAUCAGUGUGUGUGUUAGUGGAAGCGUCUGGAAAGGCGCGCGAUACAGGGUGACAGCCCCGUACACAAAAAUGCACAUGCUGUGAGCUCGAUGAGUAGGGCGGGACACGUGGUAUCCUGUCUGAAUAUGGGGGGACCAUCCUCCAAGGCUAAAUACUCCUGACUGACCGAUAGUGAACCAGUACCGUGAGGGAAAGGCGAAAAGAACCCCGGCGAGGGGAGUGAAAAAGAACCUGAAACCGUGUACGUACAAGCAGUGGGAGCACGCUUAGGCGUGUGACUGCGUACCUUUUGUAUAAUGGGUCAGCGACUUAUAUUCUGUAGCAAGGUUAACCGAAUAGGGGAGCCGAAGGGAAACCGAGUCUUAACUGGGCGUUAAGUUGCAGGGUAUAGACCCGAAACCCGGUGAUCUAGCCAUGGGCAGGUUGAAGGUUGGGUAACACUAACUGGAGGACCGAACCGACUAAUGUUGAAAAAUUAGCGGAUGACUUGUGGCUGGGGGUGAAAGGCCAAUCAAACCGGGAGAUAGCUGGUUCUCCCCGAAAGCUAUUUAGGUAGCGCCUCGUGAAUUCAUCUCCGGGGGUAGAGCACUGUUUCGGCAAGGGGGUCAUCCCGACUUACCAACCCGAUGCAAACUGCGAAUACCGGAGAAUGUUAUCACGGGAGACACACGGCGGGUGCUAACGUCCGUCGUGAAGAGGGAAACAACCCAGACCGCCAGCUAAGGUCCCAAAGUCAUGGUUAAGUGGGAAACGAUGUGGGAAGGCCCAGACAGCCAGGAUGUUGGCUUAGAAGCAGCCAUCAUUUAAAGAAAGCGUAAUAGCUCACUGGUCGAGUCGGCCUGCGCGGAAGAUGUAACGGGGCUAAACCAUGCACCGAAGCUGCGGCAGCGACACUGUGUGUUGUUGGGUAGGGGAGCGUUCUGUAAGCCUGUGAAGGUGUACUGUGAGGUAUGCUGGAGGUAUCAGAAGUGCGAAUGCUGACAUAAGUAACGAUAAAGCGGGUGAAAAGCCCGCUCGCCGGAAGACCAAGGGUUCCUGUCCAACGUUAAUCGGGGCAGGGUGAGUCGACCCCUAAGGCGAGGCCGAAAGGCGUAGUCGAUGGGAAACAGGUUAAUAUUCCUGUACUUGGUGUUACUGCGAAGGGGGGACGGAGAAGGCUAUGUUGGCCGGGCGACGGUUGUCCCGGUUUAAGCGUGUAGGCUGGUUUUCCAGGCAAAUCCGGAAAAUCAAGGCUGAGGCGUGAUGACGAGGCACUACGGUGCUGAAGCAACAAAUGCCCUGCUUCCAGGAAAAGCCUCUAAGCAUCAGGUAACAUCAAAUCGUACCCCAAACCGACACAGGUGGUCAGGUAGAGAAUACCAAGGCGCUUGAGAGAACUCGGGUGAAGGAACUAGGCAAAAUGGUGCCGUAACUUCGGGAGAAGGCACGCUGAUAUGUAGGUGAAGUCCCUCGCGGAUGGAGCUGAAAUCAGUCGAAGAUACCAGCUGGCUGCAACUGUUUAUUAAAAACACAGCACUGUGCAAACACGAAAGUGGACGUAUACGGUGUGACGCCUGCCCGGUGCCGGAAGGUUAAUUGAUGGGGUCAGCGCAAGCGAAGCUCUUGAUCGAAGCCCCGGUAAACGGCGGCCGUAACUAUAACGGUCCUAAGGUAGCGAAAUUCCUUGUCGGGUAAGUUCCGACCUGCACGAAUGGCGUAAUGAUGGCCAGGCUGUCUCCACCCGAGACUCAGUGAAAUUGAACUCGCUGUGAAGAUGCAGUGUACCCGCGGCAAGACGGAAAGACCCCGUGAACCUUUACUAUAGCUUGACACUGAACAUUGAGCCUUGAUGUGUAGGAUAGGUGGGAGGCUUUGAAGUGUGGACGCCAGUCUGCAUGGAGCCGACCUUGAAAUACCACCCUUUAAUGUUUGAUGUUCUAACGUUGACCCGUGAUCCGGGUUGCGGACAGUGUCUGGUGGGUAGUUUGACUGGGGCGGUCUCCUCCUAAAGAGUAACGGAGGAGCACGAAGGUUGGCUAAUCCUGGUCGGACAUCAGGAGGUUAGUGCAAUGGCAUAAGCCAGCUUGACUGCGAGCGUGACGGCGCGAGCAGGUGCGAAAGCAGGUCAUAGUGAUCCGGUGGUUCUGAAUGGAAGGGCCAUCGCUCAACGGAUAAAAGGUACUCCGGGGAUAACAGGCUGAUACCGCCCAAGAGUUCAUAUCGACGGCGGUGUUUGGCACCUCGAUGUCGGCUCAUCACAUCCUGGGGCUGAAGUAGGUCCCAAGGGUAUGGCUGUUCGCCAUUUAAAGUGGUACGCGAGCUGGGUUUAGAACGUCGUGAGACAGUUCGGUCCCUAUCUGCCGUGGGCGCUGGAGAACUGAGGGGGGCUGCUCCUAGUACGAGAGGACCGGAGUGGACGCAUCACUGGUGUUCGGGUUGUCAUGCCAAUGGCACUGCCCGGUAGCUAAAUGCGGAAGAGAUAAGUGCUGAAAGCAUCUAAGCACGAAACUUGCCCCGAGAUGAGUUCUCCCUGACUCCUUGA
Molecule: ribosomal RNA, 2786 nt
Filed under: Escherichia coli
Lineage: Bacteria; Pseudomonadati; Pseudomonadota; Gammaproteobacteria; Enterobacterales; Enterobacteriaceae
Description: bacterial LSU rRNA
Rfam family: Bacterial large subunit ribosomal RNA
Source: RNAcentral